RNAcentral lists this ribosomal RNA (254 nucleotides) under uncultured prokaryote. RNAcentral describes it as "partial 16S ribosomal RNA". It matches the Rfam family "Bacterial small subunit ribosomal RNA", at positions 524 to 777 of the family's 1533-position model. The record is from RNAcentral.
UACGGAGGAUGCAAGCGUUAUCCGGAUUUAUUGGGUUUAAAGGGUGCGCAGGUUGUUUGAUAAGUCAGUGGUGAAAGUCUGUCGCUUAACGGUAGGAUUGCCAUUGAUACUGUUAGACUUGAAUAUGGAUGAGGUAGGCGGAAUGUGUAGUGUAGCGGUGAAAUGCAUAGAUAUUACACAGAACACCGAUUGCGAAGGCAGCUUACUAAUCCAUAACUGACGCUCAGGCACGAAGGCGUGGGGAUCAAACAGGA